RNAcentral lists this ribosomal RNA (501 nucleotides) under uncultured bacterium. RNAcentral describes it as "bacterial SSU rRNA". It matches the Rfam family "Bacterial small subunit ribosomal RNA", at positions 27 to 525 of the family's 1533-position model. The record is from RNAcentral.
GAUUGAACGCUGGCGGCAUGCUUUACACAUGCAAGUCGAACGGUAACAGGUCUUCGGAUGCUGACGAGUGGCGAACGGGUGAGUAAUGCAUCGGAACGUGCCCAGUCGUGGGGGAUAACGCAGCGAAAGCUGUGCUAAUACCGCAUACGAUCUAUGGAUGAAAGCGGGGGAUCGCAAGACCUCGCGCGAUUGGAGCGGCCGAUGUCAGAUUAGCUAGUUGGUGGGGUAAAGGCCCACCAAGGCGACGAUCUGUAGCUGGUCUGAGAGGACGACCAGCCACACUGGGACUGAGACACGGCCCAGACUCCUACGGGAGGCAGCAGUGGGGAAUUUUGGACAAUGGGCGCAAGCCUGAUCCAGCAAUGCCGCGUGCAGGAAGAAGGCCUUCGGGUUGUAAACUGCUUUUGUACGGAACGAAAAGGUCUGGGUUAAUACCCUGGGCUCAUGACGGUACCGUAAGAAUAAGCACCGGCUAACUACGUGCCAGCAGCCGCGGUAAUA